UUUUAUGAGAGUUUGAUCCUGGCUCAGGAUGAACGCUGGCGGCGUGCCUAACACAUGCAAGUCGAGCGAGGGCUUACUCGGAAUUGAGUAUUCUAUCAGCGUUUUUUCGUUUCUGACCCUAGUAGUCAGAUUGGAAGAAACGAAACACGCACUAUAAAGUGCCAGUUCGCACUAUAAAGUGCCGGUAAAGUAGAGUAUUGAAUUCUGAGUAAGACCAAGCGGCGGACGGGUGAGUAACGCGUGGGUAACCUGCCCUAUACACAUGGAUAACAUACUGAAAAGUUUACUAAUACAUGAUAAUAUAUAUUUACGGCAUCGUAGAUAUAUCAAAGUGUUAGCGGUAUAGGAUGGACCCGCGUCUGAUUAGCUAGUUGGUGAGAUAACUGCCCACCAAGGCGACGAUCAGUAGCCGACCUGAGAGGGUGAUCGGCCACAUUGGAACUGAGACACGGUCCAAACUCCUACGGGAGGCAGCAGUGGGGAAUAUUGCACAAUGGGCGCAAGCCUGAUGCAGCAACGCCGCGUGAACGAUGAAGGUCUUCGGAUCGUAAAGUUCUGUUGCAGGGGAAGAUAAUGACGGUACCCUGUGAGGAAGCCCCGGCUAACUACGUGCCAGCAGCCGCGGUAAUACGUAGGGGGCUAGCGUUAUCCGGAUUUACUGGGCGUAAAGGGUGCGUAGGUGGUCUUUCAAGUCGGUGGUUAAAGGCUACGGCUCAACCGUAGUUAGCCUCCGAAACUGGAAGACUUGAGUGCAGGAGAGGAAAGUGGAAUUCCCAGUGUAGCGGUGAAAUGCGUAGAUAUUGGGAGGAACACCAGUAGCGAAGGCGGCUUUCUGGACUGCAACUGACACUGAGGCACGAAAGCGUGGGUAGCAAACAGGAUUAGAUACCCUGGUAGUCCACGCUGUAAACGAUGAGUACUAGGUGUCGGGGGUUACCCCCCUCGGUGCCGCAGCUAACGCAUUAAGUACUCCGCCUGGGGAGUACGCACGCAAGUGUGAAACUCAAAGGAAUUGACGGGGACCCGCACAAGUAGCGGAGCAUGUGGUUUAAUUCGAAGCAACGCGAAGAACCUUACCUAAGCUUGACAUCCCUUAGACCGGUGUUUAAUCACACCUUCCCUUCGGGGCUGAGGUGACAGGUGGUGCAUGGUUGUCGUCAGCUCGUGUCGUGAGAUGUUGGGUUAAGUCCCGCAACGAGCGCAACCCUUGUCUUUAGUUGCCAGCAUUCAGUUGGGCACUCUAGAGAGACUGCCAGGGAUAACCUGGAGGAAGGUGGGGAUGACGUCAAAUCAUCAUGCCCCUUAUGCUUAGGGCUACACACGUGCUACAAUGGGUGGUACAGAGGGUUGCCAAACCGUGAGGUGGAGCUAAUCCCUUAAAGCCAUUCUCAGUUCGGAUUGUAGGCUGAAACUCGCCUACAUGAAGCUGGAGUUACUAGUAAUCGCAGAUCAGAAUGCUGCGGUGAAUGCGUUCCCGGGUCUUGUACACACCGCCCGUCACACCAUGGGAGUCGGAAACACCCGAAGCCGAUUAUCCAACCGCAAGGAGGAAGUCGUCGAAGGUGGCGUCGAUAACUGGGGUGAAGUCGUAACAAGGUAGCCGUAUCGGAAGGUGCGGCUGGAUCACCUCCUUU
Molecule: ribosomal RNA, 1634 nt
Filed under: Peptostreptococcus anaerobius
Lineage: Bacteria; Bacillati; Bacillota; Clostridia; Peptostreptococcales; Peptostreptococcaceae
Also listed under: 1 other name
Description: 16S ribosomal RNA
Rfam family: Bacterial small subunit ribosomal RNA
Source: RNAcentral